UCCCUGGUGGCUCAGAGGGUAAAGCAUCUGCCUGUGAUGGGGAAGACCCAGGUUCAAUCCCUGGGUUGGGAA
Molecule: transfer RNA, 72 nt
Filed under: Capra hircus (goat)
Lineage: Eukaryota; Metazoa; Chordata; Mammalia; Artiodactyla; Bovidae
Also listed under: 1 other name
Rfam family: tRNA
About the family: Transfer RNA (tRNA) molecules are approximately 80 nucleotides in length. Their secondary structure includes four short double-helical elements and three loops (D, anti-codon, and T loops).
Source: Rfam by way of RNAcentral